This 551-nucleotide ribosomal RNA is filed under the name uncultured bacterium. RNAcentral describes it as "partial 16S ribosomal RNA". It matches the Rfam family "Bacterial small subunit ribosomal RNA", at positions 355 to 895 of the family's 1533-position model. The record is from RNAcentral.
UGGGGAAUAUUGCACAAUGGGCGCAAGCCUGAUGCAGCCAUGCCGCGUGUGUGAAGAAGGCCUUCGGGUUGUAAAGCACUUUCAGCGAGGAGGAAGGUGGUGAGCUUAAUACGCUCAUCAAUUGACGUUACUCGCAGAAGAAGCACCGGCUAACUCCGUGCCAGCAGCCGCGGUAAUACGGAGGGUGCAAGCGUUAAUCGGAAUUACUGGGCGUAAAGCGCACGCAGGCGGUUUGUUAAGUCAGAUGUGAAAUCCCCGGGCUCAACCUGGGAACUGCAUUUGAAACUGGCAAGCUAGAGUCUCGUAGAGGGGGGUAGAAUUCCAGGUGUAGCGGUGAAAUGCGUAGAGAUCUGGAGGAAUACCGGUGGCGAAGGCGGCCCCCUGGACGAAGACUGACACUCAGGUGCGAAAGCGUGGGGAGCAAAACAGGAUUAGAUACCCUGGUAGUCCACGCUGUAAAACGAUGUCGAUUUUGGAGGUUGUGCCCUUGAGGCGUGGCUUCCGGAGCUAACGCGUUAAAUCGACCGCCUGGGGAGUACGGCCGCAAGGUU